GACGAACGCUGGCGGCGUGCUUAACACAUGCAAGUCGAACGGCAAGGCCUUUUCGGAGGCACUCGAGUGGCGAACGGGUGAGUAACACGUGGGUGAUCUGCCCUGCACUCUGGGAUAAGCCUGGGAAACUGGGUCUAAUAUCGGAUAGGACCGCCCGCUAGUGUGUGUGUUGGACAGUUUUUUCGGUGUAUGAUGAGCCCGCGGCCUAUCAGCUUGUUGGUGGGGUAAUGGCCUACCAAAGCGGCGGCGGGUAGCCGGACUGAGAGGUUAGUCGGCCACAAUUGGACUUAGAGACGGCCCAGACUCCUACGAAGAGCAGAUGGAGGGAGUAUUGCACUGUGGGCGUGAGCCUGAUGCAGGGACGCCGGGAGGGGGGAGACGGACUUCGAGUUGUAAUCUCCUUUCGCCAGGGACGAAGCGGUAUGAGACGUGACCGGGAGAAGAGGCACCGGCUAACUACGUG
This 463-nucleotide ribosomal RNA is filed under the name uncultured bacterium. Its description in RNAcentral is "partial 16S ribosomal RNA". It matches the Rfam family "Bacterial small subunit ribosomal RNA", at positions 28 to 507 of the family's 1533-position model. The record is from RNAcentral.